CGAAUUGCAACAUUUGCAUGGAAAACAACACCAAGGGACGAGUGAAAGUACAGACAUGACGAGCGCCUGCCCCACCAGGAUCGUCUACCCAACCAGCGCCUGCCCCACCAGGAUCCUUCAGACAUCUACAUCACACCUCCCAAAUGUUAUGAGAAUCUACCGUCUGAAGCUAAAUAAAUAUUCCUUGACCCAAGGACUGUACUUGACAUGAUACAAGAUCAACGGUGAAGUGUUCAUUAGAGAAGUCCUUAUCAACCAGUGGAACGGAAGAAGAAUUCCUCACUACCAGCAGACUGUCAGAACAUAAUUUCUAAUAGUUAUCUAUGUGGGACUGAUACCAGUGUGGAAGAGCUGGUCACUUUUAAAAGACUUGGGGAAUGAUUGCCUUGCCAAUUGGACGAUUGAAUAUUAUUGUCUUCCUCCUAAUACAGGAUGUGGUAGGAAUCGUAAGCGACAUCAUCAUUACACAUGUCAAUACUUAUUUUAUCUAACGUUGUUAGAAAUCUAUUUCUUAUAGUAACAGCAAGUAGAAUAUGCCCUUUGUGUUUUAUAGAAAUGCAAGGUGUUUAAUGUGAAUGAUUUUAUGCUUACUGCAAAUGUUUUUUAUACCGUCUAUUUUUUCAUGUUUUCUAUUGUUUCUAAAAAUACAUUUUAAGUAUAUUUAUUUUGAAAAUGUUCUAGGGGGAGUGUAAGAAUAUUUAGAAGAUAAAUACACAAUGCAGAGGACGAGAGGUCAAUAGAGUACUAACUGUCAAGAGGACUAAAAGUCAAUAGAGUACUAACGAUCAAUGGAAAUAGUGUUUUUUCUGUAAUAGGGGAUUAAUGAUCAAUGGGUCAGAUACAUGGGAGGAAUUUCAGUCCGGGACUCAUAGCUACAUGGCAAGUUCUCGUUGGUCCAAAUUGUUUAUACAUUGAGCCUGAAAUAUGCUACUUGUUAUUUGGCCAUUGUCCCAGUUAAUUGCAAGGAAUUUUAAUUGGUCAACCACAGGCUAGGGUUGGGAUAUAAAACUACAUCCUGUCCCUUUGUUCUGUGGAGAGAAUCACUGAGUAGAGAAUAACUAAGGACAGGGGAGAAUGGGGAGAAUCUACCUCCCCGCAUGAUUUGUUCUCUUUGAAUAAACAAACCUAUUUUCCUCCCCCUGA
Molecule: long non-coding RNA, 1143 nt
Filed under: Salmo salar (Atlantic salmon)
Lineage: Eukaryota; Metazoa; Chordata; Actinopteri; Salmoniformes; Salmonidae
Description: lncRNA (ENSSSAG00000089335.1)
Source: RNAcentral